CCUACGGGUGGCAGCAGUGAGGAAUAUUGGUCAAUGGACGAGAGUCUGAACCAGCCAAGUAGCGUGAAGGAUGACUGCCCUAUGGGUUGUAAACUUCUUUUAUAAAGGAAUAAAACGAGGCACGUGUGCCUUUUUGCAUGUACUUUAUGAAUAAGGAUCGGCUAACUCCGUGCCAGCAGCCGCGGUAAUACGGAGGAUCCGAGCGUUAUCCGGAUUUAUUGGGUUUAAAGGGCGCGUAGAUGGGUUGUUAAGUCAGUUGUGAAAGUUUGCGGCUCAACCGUAAAAUUGCAAUUGAUACUGGCAGUCUUGAGUACAGUUGAGGUAGGCGGAAUUCGUGGUGUAGCGGUGAAAUGCUUAGAUAUCACGAAGAACCCCGAUUGCGAAGGCAGCUCACUAAACUGUGACUGACAUUGAUGCUCGAAAGUGUGGGUAUCAAACAGGAUUAGAUACCCCAGUAGUC
RNAcentral lists this ribosomal RNA (460 nucleotides) under uncultured bacterium. RNAcentral describes it as "partial 16S ribosomal RNA". It matches the Rfam family "Bacterial small subunit ribosomal RNA", at positions 338 to 795 of the family's 1533-position model. The record is from RNAcentral.